AACGAACGCUGGCGGCAUGCCUAACACAUGCAAGUCGAACGAGACCUUCGGGUCUACUGGCGCACGGGUGCGUAACGCGUGGGAACCUGCCCUUAGGUUCGGAAUAACUCCCCGAAAGGGGUGCUAAUACCGGAUAAUGUCUUCGGACCAAAGAUUUAUCGCCUUUGGAUGGGCCCGCGUUGGAUUAGCUAGUUGGUAUGGUAAAAGCCUACCAAGGCGACGAUCCAUAGCUGGUCUGAGAGGAUGAUCAGCCACACUGGGACUGAGACACGGCCCAGACUCCUACGGGAGGCAGCAGUGGGGAAUAUUGGACAAUGGGCGAAAGCCUGAUCCAGCAAUGCCGCGUGAGUGAUGAAGGCCUUAGGGUUGUAAAGCUCUUUUACCCGGGAUGAUAAUGACAGUACCGGGAGAAUAAGCUCCGGCUAACUCCGUG
RNAcentral lists this ribosomal RNA (433 nucleotides) under uncultured bacterium. Its description in RNAcentral is "partial 16S ribosomal RNA". It matches the Rfam family "Bacterial small subunit ribosomal RNA", at positions 29 to 507 of the family's 1533-position model. The record is from RNAcentral.